Molecule: non-coding RNA, 147 nt
Organism: Homo sapiens (human)
Lineage: Eukaryota; Metazoa; Chordata; Mammalia; Primates; Hominidae
Rfam family: Metazoan signal recognition particle RNA
About the family: The signal recognition particle (SRP) is a universally conserved ribonucleoprotein. It is involved in the co-translational targeting of proteins to membranes.
Source: Rfam
GCUGGGCAUGGUGGUGCAUGCCUGUAAUCCCAGCUACUCAGGAGGCUGAGGCAGGAGAAUUGCUUGAACCCAGGAGGCAGAGGUUGUGGUGAGCCGAGAUCCGCCACUGCACUCCAGCCUGGGUGAUACAGCGAGACCCCCUCUCAA